Molecule: ribosomal RNA, 468 nt
Filed under: uncultured bacterium
Lineage: Bacteria
Description: partial 16S ribosomal RNA
Rfam family: Bacterial small subunit ribosomal RNA
Source: RNAcentral
GACGAACGCUGGCGGCGUGCUUAACACAUGCAAGUCGAACGGAAAGGCCCUGCUUUUGUGGGGUGCUCGAGUGGCGAACGGGUGAGUAACACGUGAGUAACCUGCCCUUGACUUUGGGAUAACUUCAGGAAACUGCGGCUAAUACCGGAUAGGAGCUCCUGCUGCAUGGUGUGGGUUGGAAAGUUUCGGCGGUUGGGGAUGGACUCGCGGCUUAUCAGCUUGUUGGUGGGGUAGUGGCUUACCAAGGCUUUGACGGGUAGCCGGCCUGAGAGGGUGACCGGCCACAUUGGGACUGAGAUACGGACCAGACUCCUACGGGAGGCAGCAGUGGGGAAUAUUGCACAAUGGGCGGAAGCCUGAUGCAGCAACGUCGCGUGCGGGAUGACGGCCUUCGGGUUGUAAACAGCUUUCGAAUGUGACGAAGCGUGAGUGACGGUAAUGGGUAAAGAAGCAACGGCUAACUACGUG